This 2319-nucleotide ribosomal RNA is filed under the name Salmonella enterica subsp. enterica serovar Typhimurium. Its description in RNAcentral is "partial 23S ribosomal RNA". It matches the Rfam family "Bacterial large subunit ribosomal RNA", at positions 161 to 2416 of the family's 2925-position model. Lineage: Bacteria; Pseudomonadati; Pseudomonadota; Gammaproteobacteria; Enterobacterales; Enterobacteriaceae. The record is from RNAcentral.
AAUCCAUAGGUUAAUGAGGCGAACCGGGGGAACUGAAACAUCUAAGUACCCCGAGGAAAAGAAAUCAACCGAGAUUCCCCCAGUAGCGGCGAGCGAACGGGGAGGAGCCCAGAGCCUGAAUCAGCAUGUGUGUUAGUGGAAGCGUCUGGAAAGGCGCGCGAUACAGGGUGACAGCCCCGUACACAAAAGCGCAUGUGCUGUGAGCUCGAUGAGUAGGGCGGGACACGUGGUAUCCUGUCUGAAUAUGGGGGGACCAUCCUCCAAGGCUAAAUACUCCUGACUGACCGAUAGUGAACCAGUACCGUGAGGGAAAGGCGAAAAGAACCCCGGCGAGGGGAGUGAAAAAGAACCUGAAACCGUGUACGUACAAGCAGUGGGAGCACAGGUUUACCUGUGUGACUGCGUACCUUUUGUAUAAUGGGUCAGCGACUUAUAUUCUGUAGCAAGGUUAACCGAAUAGGGGAGCCGGAGGGAAACCGAGUCUUAAUUGGGCGUUAAGUUGCAGGGUAUAGACCCGAAACCCGGUGAUCUAGCCAUGGGCAGGUUGAAGGUUGGGUAACACUAACUGGAGGACCGAACCGACUAAUGUUGAAAAAUUAGCGGAUGACCUGUGGCUGGGGGUGAAAGGCCAAUCAAACCGGGAGAUAGCUGGUUCUCCCCGAAAGCUAUUUAGGUAGCGCCUCGUGAAUUCAUCUCCGGGGGUAGAGCACUGUUUCGGCUAGGGGGCCAUCCCGGCUUACCAACCCGAUGCAAACUGCGAAUACCGGAGAAUGUUAUCACGGGAGACACACGGCGGGUGCUAACGUCCGUCGUGAAGAGGGAAACAACCCAGACCGCCAGCUAAGGUCCCAAAGUCAUGGUUAAGUGGGAAACGAUGUGGGAAGGCCCAGACAGCCAGGAUGUUGGCUUAGAAGCAGCCAUCAUUUAAAGAAAGCGUAAUAGCUCACUGGUCGAGUCGGCCUGCGCGGAAGAUGUAACGGGGCUAAACCAUGCACCGAAGCUGCGGCAGCGAACGUAUCACCCAAGACAACUUUACGGAGUUGACGAUUGACGGAGCGAAGCGACGUCAAAGCGUUCAUUAAAGUCGAGUUGGCUUAGGGAUACGUUCGUUGGGUAGGGGAGCGUUCUGUAAGCCUGUGAAGGUGUGUCGUGAGGCAUGCUGGAGGUAUCAGAAGUGCGAAUGCUGACAUAAGUAACGAUAAAGCGGGUGAAAAGCCCGCUCGCCGGAAGACCAAGGGUUCCUGUCCAACGUUAAUCGGGGCAGGGUGAGUCGACCCCUAAGGCGAGGCCGAAAGGCGUAGUCGAUGGGAAACGGGUUAAUAUUCCCGUACUUGGUGUUACUGCGAAGGGGGGACGGAGAAGGCUAUGUUGGCCGGGCGACGGUUGUCCCGGUUUAAGCGUGUAGGUGUGUGUUCCAGGUAAAUCCGGUUCACUUUAACACUGAGGCGUGACGACGAGGCACUACGGUGCUGAAGCAACAAAUGCCCUGCUUCCAGGAAAAGCCUCUAAGCAUCAGGUAACAUCAAAUCGUACCCCAAACCGACACAGGUGGUCAGGUAGAGAAUACCAAGGCGCUUGAGAGAACUCGGGUGAAGGAACUAGGCAAAAUGGUGCCGUAACUUCGGGAGAAGGCACGCUGACACGUAGGUGAAGUGAUUUACUCAUGGAGCUGAAGUCAGUCGAAGAUACCAGCUGGCUGCAACUGUUUAUUAAAAACACAGCACUGUGCAAACACGAAAGUGGACGUAUACGGUGUGACGCCUGCCCGGUGCCGGAAGGUUAAUUGAUGGGGUCAGCGCAAGCGAAGCUCCUGAUCGAAGCCCCGGUAAACGGCGGCCGUAACUAUAACGGUCCUAAGGUAGCGAAAUUCCUUGUCGGGUAAGUUCCGACCUGCACGAAUGGCGUAAUGAUGGCCAGGCUGUCUCCACCCGAGACUCAGUGAAAUUGAACUCGCUGUGAAGAUGCAGUGUACCCGCGGCAAGACGGAAAGACCCCGUGAACCUUUACUAUAGCUUGACACUGAACAUUGAGCCUUGAUGUGUAGGAUAGGUGGGAGGCUUUGAAGUGUGGACGCCAGUCUGCAUGGAGCCGACCUUGAAAUACCACCCUUUAAUGUUUGAUGUUCUAACGUGGACCCGUAAUCCGGGUUGCGGACAGUGUCUGGUGGGUAGUUUGACUGGGGCGGUCUCCUCCUAAAGAGUAACGGAGGAGCACGAAGGUUGGCUAAUCCUGGUCGGACAUCAGGAGGUUAGUGCAAUGGCAUAAGCCAGCUUGACUGCGAGCGUGACGGCGCGAGCAGGUGCGAAAGCAGGUCAUAGU